ACUUAAGUAUUUUAAAUAAAAUAUUGAUUUGUGGUGUCAAUGAUACAUGAUUUGUCUUAGGUC
Molecule: transfer RNA, 63 nt
Filed under: Polyphaga plancyi
Lineage: Eukaryota; Metazoa; Arthropoda; Insecta; Blattodea; Corydiidae
Description: tRNA-His
Source: RNAcentral